UACGAAGGGGGCUAGCGUUGUUCGGAAUUACUGGUCGUAAAGCGCACGUAGGCGGAUUGUUAAGUCGGGGGUGAAAUCCUGAGGCUCAACCUCAGAACUGCCUUCGAUACUGGCGAUCUUGAGUUCGGAAGAGGUUGGUGGAACAUCUAGUGUAGAGGUGAAAUUCGUAGAUAUUAGCUAGAACACCAGUGGCGAAGGCGGCCAACUGGUCCGAUACUGACGCUGAGGCACGAAAGCGUGGGGAGCAAACAGG
RNAcentral lists this ribosomal RNA (253 nucleotides) under uncultured bacterium. Its description in RNAcentral is "partial 16S ribosomal RNA". It matches the Rfam family "Bacterial small subunit ribosomal RNA", at positions 524 to 776 of the family's 1533-position model. The record is from RNAcentral.